GACGAACGCUGGCGGCGUGCCUAAUACAUGCAAGUAGAACGCACAGUUUAUACCGUAGCUUGCUACACCAUAGACUGUGAGUUGCGAACGGGUGAGUAACGCGUAGGUAACCUGCCUGGUAGCGGGGGAUAACUAUUGGAAACGAUAGCUAAUACCGCAUAAUAUUGAUUAUUGCAUGAUAAUUAAUUGAAAGGUGCAAUUGCACCACUACCAGAUGGACCUGCGUUGUAUUAGCUAGUAGGUGAGGUAACGGCUCACCUAGGCGACGAUACAUAGCCGACCUGAGAGGGUGAUCGGCCACACUGGGACUGAGACACGGCCCAGACGCCUACGGGAGGCAGCAGUAGGGAAUCUUCGGCAAUGGACGAAAGUCUGACCGAGCAACGCCGCGUGAGUGAAGAAGGUUUUCGGAUCGUAAAGCUCUGUUGUAAGAGAAGAACGGGUGUGAGAGUGGAAAGUUCACACUGUGACGGUAUCUUACCAGAAAGGGACGGCUAACUACGUG
This 505-nucleotide ribosomal RNA is filed under the name uncultured bacterium. Its description in RNAcentral is "partial 16S ribosomal RNA". It matches the Rfam family "Bacterial small subunit ribosomal RNA", at positions 28 to 507 of the family's 1533-position model. The record is from RNAcentral.